CUGCAUGGGAGACUGUGUGGGAGAGUAGAACGCCGCCGGAU
RNAcentral lists this ribosomal RNA (41 nucleotides) under Desulfobacula phenolica. The record is from RNAcentral. Lineage: Bacteria; Pseudomonadati; Thermodesulfobacteriota; Desulfobacteria; Desulfobacterales; Desulfobacteraceae.